GACGAACGCUGGCGGCGUGCCUAAUACAUGCAAGUCGAACGCAGUGGGGACGGGUGCGUAACACGUGGGUAACCUCCCAUCAGAGGGGAUAACACUUGGAAACAGGUGCUAAACCGAUACUGAUGGAUGGACCCGCGGUGCAUUAGCUGGAUGGUGGGGUAACGGCUCACCAAGGCCACGAGUCAUAGCCGACCUGAGAGGGUGAUCGGCCACACUGGGACUGAGACACGGCCCAGACUCCUACGGGAGGCAGCAGUAGGGAAUCUUCGGCAAUGGACGAAAGUCUGACCGAGCAACGCCGCGUGAGUGAAGAAGGUUUUCGGAUCGUAAAACUCUGUCGGUAGAGAAGCGGUAUCUAACCAGAAAGCCACGGCUAACUACGUGCCAGCAGCCGCGGUAAUUC
Molecule: ribosomal RNA, 403 nt
Filed under: uncultured bacterium
Lineage: Bacteria
Description: partial 16S ribosomal RNA
Rfam family: Bacterial small subunit ribosomal RNA
Source: RNAcentral